Molecule: ribosomal RNA, 425 nt
Filed under: uncultured bacterium
Lineage: Bacteria
Description: partial 16S ribosomal RNA
Rfam family: Bacterial small subunit ribosomal RNA
Source: RNAcentral
GUGGGGAAUCUUGCGCAAUGGGCGAAAGCCUGACGCAGCCAUGCCGCGUGAAUGAUGAAGGUCUUAGGAUUGUAAAAUUCUUUCACCGGGGACGAUAAUGACGGUACCCGGAGAAGAAGCUCCGGCUAACUUCGUGCCAGCAGCCGCGGUAAUACGAAGGGGGCUAGCGUUGCUCGGAAUUACUGGGCGUAAAGGGCGCGUAGGCGGACAGCUUAGUCAGAGGUGAAAGCCCAGGGCUCAACCUUGGAAUUGCCUUUGAUACUGGCUGUCUUGAGUUUGAGAGAGGUGAGUGGAACUCCGAGUGUAGAGGUGAAAUUCGUAGAUAUUCGGAAGAACACCAGUGGCGAAGGCGACUCACUGGCCCAAUACUGACGCUGAGGUGCGAAAGCGUGGGGAGCAAACAGGAUUAGAAACCCGUGUAGUCC